Pongo abelii (Sumatran orangutan) is the source of this 46-nucleotide non-coding RNA. Lineage: Eukaryota; Metazoa; Chordata; Mammalia; Primates; Hominidae. The record is from Rfam.
AAAAAGGUUCUUUUCAGAGCCACCUACUUUUUCACCAAGUAGAGCU